This 364-nucleotide ribosomal RNA is filed under the name uncultured bacterium. Its description in RNAcentral is "partial 16S ribosomal RNA". It matches the Rfam family "Bacterial small subunit ribosomal RNA", at positions 338 to 699 of the family's 1533-position model. The record is from RNAcentral.
CCUACGGGGGGCAGCAGUGAGGAAUAUUGGGCAAUGGACGCAAGUCUGAAGCAGCCAUGCCGCGUGCAUGAAGACGGCUCUCUGAGUUGUAAACUGCUUUUGUACGAGGGUAAAUCCCGAUACGUGUAUCGGGAUGAAAGUAUCGUACGAAUAAGGAUCGGCUAACUUCGUGCGAGCCGCCGGGGUAAUACGGAGGAUUCAAGCGUUAACCGGAUUUAUUGGGUUUAAAGGGUGCGUAGGCGGUUCGAUAAGUUAGAGGUGAAAUCCAGGGGCUCAACUCCGGCACUGCCUCUGAUACUGUCGGGCUAGAGUUUAGUAGCGGUAGGCGGAAUGUAUGGUGUAGCGGUGAAAUGCAUAGAGAUCA